CAGAUCUCAGGAGAAGCCUGAGCAAAGGCAUAAACCCACCAACUUGCCAGGAGCCAGGUGCAGACUGGGGAAACUUUGCUUUAGAAGGAUCUGACAUCCAUGGAACUGCAAAUUGAUAAACCUACCAGGAAAAUGAGUAAAAGCAUUAUCAAGGAACUGAGGGACUGCUGCACAAACAGGAAAAGAAAAAUCAACACAUCCUUUGAAGGGAAGAAGUUGGAUCUGAAGGUGAAGAUGCUAAGGAAGAUCAGGUAAAGAUCACAAAAAAAACCAGUAAAGAAGUAUUUCAGAACAAAGAACUGGUAGCCUAUUCUGACUUUAAAAGACCACAUGAAAUAAUUGUGAAUCUGACAGCACACCUUCCCUACUUACACAAGAAAGGACAGGCUAAACCUCUUCUUGCUUUUACCCCUUCUCUUAAAAGCCUCAAGCAAUCUCUCCACAGAACCACAUCCUUCCAAGACUUAAGAAGAGGAUCCCUAAACCUGUUAAAGGCACUUCGCUAACAAAAUGAUUUAGGUAAAUUGUUUCAAGAAGUUUCAGGGAAACUAAAUUUAAACUUCACUUUGAAUUUUAGAGUAUCCACACUUUCAACAUUUGAGAACAAGAAACAAGUAAAUCUGGCUUAGCAAAGAGUAAAGCCAGGCUUUAUUCUUCCUUCCAGCUACAUCGUUCUUCUCAUCAAGUAGUUUUUAAAAAUAGAUUUCUGUGAGAUUCUCUGCAUAAUCACACCACUGAAACUCCUGCUGGGCAGCUGUGUAAAACAGUCGCUUAAACUACCCUGCAUAGGCACGGUGAGUUCUGUACAUGUGGUAUUUUCUACUGUAAGUUCUUAAAG
Long non-coding RNA from Harpia harpyja (harpy eagle), 838 nucleotides. RefSeq lists it as uncharacterized. The record is from RefSeq and is a predicted model, not a curated record. The transcript is spliced from 4 exons. Lineage: Eukaryota; Metazoa; Chordata; Aves; Accipitriformes; Accipitridae.